GACGAACGCUGGCGGCGUGCCUAAUACAUGCAAGUUGAGCGCUGAAGGUUGGUACUUGUACCAACUGGAUGAGCAGCGAACGGGUGAGUAACGCGUGGGGAAUCUGCCUUUGAGCGGGGGACAACAUUUGGAAACGAAUGCUAAUACCGCAUAAAAACUUUAAACACAAGUUUUAAGUUUGAAAGAUGCAAUUGCAUCACUCAAAGAUGAUCCCGCGUUGUAUUAGCUAGUUGGUGAGGUAAAGGCUCACCAAGGCGAUGAUACAUAGCCGACCUGAGAGGGUGAUCGGCCAAAUUGGGACUGAGACACGGCCCAAACUCCUACGGGAGGCAGCAGUAGGGAAUCUUCGGCAAUGGACGAAAGUCUGACCGAGCAACGCCGCGUGAGUGAAGAAGGUUUUCGGAUCGUAAAACUCUGUUGGUAGAGAAGAACGUUGGUGAGAGUGGAAAGCUCAUCAAGUGACGGUAACUACCCAGAGAGGGACGGCUAACUACGUG
RNAcentral lists this ribosomal RNA (497 nucleotides) under uncultured bacterium. RNAcentral's name for it is "partial 16S ribosomal RNA". It matches the Rfam family "Bacterial small subunit ribosomal RNA", at positions 28 to 507 of the family's 1533-position model. The record is from RNAcentral.